This 253-nucleotide ribosomal RNA is filed under the name uncultured bacterium. RNAcentral describes it as "partial 16S ribosomal RNA". It matches the Rfam family "Bacterial small subunit ribosomal RNA", at positions 524 to 776 of the family's 1533-position model. The record is from RNAcentral.
UACGUAGGGGGCAAGCGUUGUCCGGAAUUAUUGGGCGUAAAGAGCUCGUAGGCGGUCUGUAGCGUCGGCUGUGAAAUCCCGAGGCUCAACCUCGGGUCUGCAGUCGAUACGGGCAAACUAGAGUAUUGCAGGGGAGACUGGAAUUCCUGGUGUAGCGGUGAAAUGCGCAGAUAUCAGGAGGAACACCGGUGGCGAAGGCGGGUCUCUGGGCAAUAACUGACGCUGAGGAGCGAAAGCGUGGGGAGCGAACAGG